UACGUAGGGUGCGAGCGUUAAUCGGAAUUACUGGGCGUAAAGCGUGCGCAGGCGGUUUUGUAAGCCAGAUGUGAAAUCCCCGGGCUUAACCUGGGAAUGGCAUUUGGGACUGCAAGGCUCGAGUGCGGCAGAGGAGACUGGAAUUCCUGGUGUAGCAGUGAAAUGCGUAGAUAUCAGGAGGAACACCGAUGGCGAAGGCAGGUCUCUGGGCUGACACCGACGCUCAUGCACGAAAGCGUGGGGAGCAAACAGG
RNAcentral lists this ribosomal RNA (253 nucleotides) under uncultured bacterium. Its description in RNAcentral is "partial 16S ribosomal RNA". It matches the Rfam family "Bacterial small subunit ribosomal RNA", at positions 524 to 776 of the family's 1533-position model. The record is from RNAcentral.